Molecule: long non-coding RNA, 302 nt
Filed under: Canis lupus familiaris (dog)
Lineage: Eukaryota; Metazoa; Chordata; Mammalia; Carnivora; Canidae
Description: lncRNA (ENSCAFG00000055927.1)
Source: RNAcentral
GAGAGAUUUGUUGUUGUUUUUAACUGUAAUGAUGUGCUGUUUAAGUGGAACAGGUGCUGGGCUCUAGCUGUUUGUGUUUAAACCUGCCAAAUCACACUCUUUUUGUUGGUUGGGUUGUUUAAGUAAUUUAGGAACCAGACUGUGGCCCCUGGCUUGCCAAGAGUGAGUUCAAGGUUCCAUCUCACUGCUGCAGAUCCCUGUCUCCACUGUGACAGGCAGAGAAAUCUUAAGAGAGCAAGAAGGCUGGAUAUUUUUAAGGUUUAGUGCUACAGUUGAACCACUGCUUGAAUUGCCAGCAAAUU